CUUUUCUUCACCGAAGUCGCCAACACCACUGGCGCCUCUGAGACCGGCUCUACCAUAGAGACGGGAUAGAAGAGCAACGGGAGCGGCGCGCGGAAUGCUGGGAUAGUGGAAGUCCGCCCAGCGCUACCUGCGGGUUUAGCCGUCCGUCAGAGUUAGAGGCGGGUUAUUUUGAGCAUUUACCGUUUUAUCUGGACUCUCUGAAUUGACAAAUUUGGCGUCCGGGGGGUCACAGCUAAUUAGCCAGCCAUGAAGACUGAAGAGGCACGUCUACAUACCAAGUUUGUAAGACAUCCUUUCAGGGAUCUCACAUUGGUUUCUAUGGGAACAAGAAUGGCUCUGAAGAGGAGCAUUUUAAGAACUCUUUUCACAUUCAGUGACUGCUAACUGAACUGCAAAUUCUGUUUGUUAACGGUUUUUAACUCUUAAAUUUUAACACAGAAAUAAA
This is a long non-coding RNA of Prionailurus viverrinus (fishing cat), 445 nucleotides long. RefSeq lists it as uncharacterized. The record is from RefSeq and is a predicted model, not a curated record. Lineage: Eukaryota; Metazoa; Chordata; Mammalia; Carnivora; Felidae. The transcript is spliced from 3 exons.